AGAACGAACGCUGGCGGCAUGCCUAAUACAUGCAAGUCGAACGAACUCUUCGGAGUUAGUGGCGCACGGGUGCGUAACGCGUGGGAAUCUGCCCCUUGGUUCGGAAUAACAGUUGGAAACGACUGCUAAUACCGGAUGAUGACGAAAGUCCAAAGAUUUAUCGCCAAGGGAUGAGCCCGCGUAGGAUUAGCUAGUUGGUGAGGUAAAGGCUCACCAAGGCAACGAUCCUUAGCUGGUCUGAGAGGAUGAUCAGCCACACUGGGACUGAGACACGGCCCAGACUCCUACGGGAGGCAGCAGUAGGGAAUAUGGACAAGUGGCGAAAGCCUGAUCCAGCAAUGCCGCGUGAGUGAUGAAGGCCUUAGGUUAGUAAGCUCUUUACCCGAGAUGAUAAUGACAGUAGUACGGGAAUAACGGCCCGACUAACUCCGUGCCAGCAGCCGACGGUAACUCGUACGGAGGCCGGGACGUCGGACCGAACGGGCCGACGAAGUAACG
RNAcentral lists this ribosomal RNA (498 nucleotides) under uncultured soil bacterium. RNAcentral describes it as "bacterial SSU rRNA". It matches the Rfam family "Bacterial small subunit ribosomal RNA", at positions 30 to 543 of the family's 1533-position model. The record is from RNAcentral.